AGAAGACAAAAAUCUGGAAGGGGGUUCAGGAGCUUUAUGGACAAAAUCUGGUGAUACCCUGCCUUGGCUAGAUGCCUAGACUGGACCAGGAUCCCCAACAAUGGAAUGCCUUCUGCACAAAAUUUCUCAAUGCUGCCAGGAGAAAAAAAGGCAUGACACCAACUGGGACCUUAUUUUAAUUCCUACUCUAAUGGCUUCAUUAUGGUGGUGACCUCAAUUUCCAAAAGUCUAUAUCAUCUUUGACAAGCUGGAAAGU
Molecule: non-coding RNA, 256 nt
Organism: Phascolarctos cinereus (koala)
Lineage: Eukaryota; Metazoa; Chordata; Mammalia; Diprotodontia; Phascolarctidae
Source: RefSeq, a predicted model, not a curated record